RNAcentral lists this ribosomal RNA (126 nucleotides) under Chinchilla lanigera (long-tailed chinchilla). The record is from RNAcentral. Lineage: Eukaryota; Metazoa; Chordata; Mammalia; Rodentia; Chinchillidae.
GUCUAGGGCUAUACCACCCUGAACGCUUCCGAUCUCGUCUGAUCUCGGAAACUAAGCAAGGUCGGGCCUGGUUAGUACUUGGAUGGGAGAAGAACCUUUGUUUUGGAGAGCAGAAAGCCAUUCCCU